AUAAAAGGCCCAGUUAGAGGCUGCAGUGGGGUGCAGGGCAGUCAGACUGGAACCAUGGAGCUCAGCGUCCUCCUCUUCCUUGCACUCCUCACAGGCCUCUUGCUACUCCUGGUUCAGCGUCACCCUAACUCCCAUGGCACCCUCCCACCAGGGCCCCGCCCUCUGCCCCUUUUGGGGAACCUUCUGCAGAUGGACAGAAGAGGCCUACUCAAAUCCUUUCUGAGGUUCCGAGAGAAAUAUGGGGACGUCUUCACGGUACACCUGGGACCGAGGCCCGUGGUCAUGCUGUGUGGAGUAGAGGCCAUACGGGAGGCCCUGGUGGACAACGCUGAGGCCUUCUCUGGCCGGGGAAAAAUCGUCAUCAUGGACCCAGUCUACCAGGGAUAUGGCAUGCUCUUUGCCAAUGGAAACCGCUGGAAGGUGCUUCGGCGAUUCUCUGUGACCACCAUGAGGGACUUCGGGAUGGGAAAGCGGAGUGUGGAGGAGCGGAUUCAGGACGAGGCUCAGUGUCUGAUAGAGGAACUUCGGAAAUCCAAGGGAGCCCUCGUGGACCCCACCUUCCUCUUCCAUUCCAUUACCGCCAACAUCAUCUGCUCCAUCAUCUUUGGAAAACGCUUCCACUACCAAGAUCAAGAGUUCCUGAAGACGCUGAACUUGUUCUGCCAGAGUUUCUUACUCAUCAGCUCUAUAUCCAGCCAGCUGUUUGAGCUCUUCUCUGGCUUCUUGAAAUACUUUCCUGGGGCACACAGGCAAGUUUACAAAAACCUACAGGAAAUCAAUGCUUACAUUGGCCACAGUGUGGAGAAGCACCGUGAAACCCUGGACCCCAGCGCCCCCAGGGACCUCAUCGACACCUACCUGCUCCACAUGGAAAAAGUGGGGUCUGGGAGAGGAAAAAGGGAAGGGAGGGGAGGGAGGGCAAGAUAGAGAGGUGAGAAGAGGGAGGGAAAAGGGGUAGGGAAGGGGAAGAUGGGGAGUGAAGAACAAAGAUUAGGGAGGGGAGAAUAGUGAAAAGGAGGAGAGCAGAUGAGGAAGGAAAGAAAGAUGAGGUGAAAGGAAGGAGAAAAUAGGAGGAACUGAGAUGGAGAGAGAGUGGUGGUGGGAAGUGGGGGAGAGAGAGAGAGGGAGAGAGAAGACUGGCUGAGGAAGGAAUUUGGGGCAAGAGACAAAAAUACAGCAACAGGAGAAAAGACUCACGGAGGUAGAAAGAGACUGGGAGACAAAAAGAGAGAAACACAUCAAAAAGAUGUGGAGAGAGAUAGAAACAGAGCC
Long non-coding RNA from Homo sapiens (human), 1272 nucleotides. Ensembl annotates it as cytochrome P450 family 2 subfamily B member 7, pseudogene. Its record names the gene CYP2B7P. NCBI's taxonomy places the organism in Eukaryota, Metazoa, Chordata, Mammalia, Primates, Hominidae. The record is from Ensembl.